AAGUGUCUGCCUACUCUCUCGAGUGAUUUUUUUUAAUUUUUUUUAUUUUUAUCUAGACUAGUUGAAUUGAAUACGUUCGCUCUAAGAACUUCAUCCACCGAGAUGUGAAGCCAGGCAACUUCCUAACGGGCCUUGGGAAGAGUUCCCUUCUUGAUUCCGUUCCUGUAAUCAACUGUGCAGUCUGGUAGAUAGAUUGGCUGCAGUACCCUUUUUUUUUUUUUCCCGCAAGGCGGCAGCAGCCCUCCAUCCAAAGUAAGGGCAGCGCAUGCGCAGAAUCGGCUUGACGCCUAGGGGCGGGGUGUGUGGCUACGUAUGCGUGUUACGAAAUACGGCCGCAUUUGUCCCGGGACUGCAGCGAUGCUGUAAUUCCGUACUCCUAUGCCCAGUGCGCACUGGCAACGUCCUGGAGGGAUGGCCGCGGCACCUCUUACCAGGAGGCAGCAGAGGGCACCACAACACCACACCGCAGACAGCGCGGGAUCGCGUUGCCGUUAUAUACGGCAAGCAACGCCGAGGGGGGGGCGCCACCGCCCAUGCGCGGCGCCAAGGCUGCAGUACCGUGUUUUGGCCGCCAGGUGACAGCAGCAGCACGCUACCAACCGGACGGCUGCAGUACCCAAUCUUUUUCGCUAGGCGGCAGCAGCGUUCCACCCAAACUACGGGCAGCACAUGCGCAGGUUCCACCUGAUGCCUAGGGGCGGGGUUUGUGGCUACGUAUGCGUAUUAUGACAUCCUCCACAAACUCUUCCUCCUGCAGGUCUGUCUGGAGAUGUCUCCAAUACAGCAGCCCCCAGGGGAAGGAUUUCUCUGUGGGACGGGAAAGCCAAGAGCUAUGACAGUAACAUAACACUUCACAAGUUAAAUUAGCUUAAAUUAAUUUAAACCACUGAAUUUCUUUUGUGACAAUCUCUCAUUUCUGUAUUUUUUUAAACAGUAGGCAGACAGAUUACUUGAAUGAAUGAAAAUACAUGCCUAAACAAGUAGAUUAAAAUCCACAAGACAUCGUAUAAUAAAAUCCAGUUUUUUUCUGGUAGUAACAAAAAGCUUAAAUUUUCACAGAACAUGAGACAUCAGGUCAAGUAGGAAUUUUCCUAUGAAUUAACAAUUCUACAGAAUAUAUGAUUUCUAAAAGAAAGGGGCACAGACUCCAGGUAGUGUAUUCUGACACACUCCCCAGUCUCCUUGGUGAUGGCAGAUGAACCAUUUUCCAUCACAAACCUGCAACUAGAAUGAACAGUUAGAUAACAUGCUUCUUAAGAUGCUAUCAUUUCUCAGUGCUCUAGUUCUCCUUCUGGGCCCUGGGAGCCAGGUCAUCAUGCAGCUAAUACCAAAUUCAACCUCUGUUGACACACAAUGCAUUUUCUUUUAGCACCCUUCAGAAACUGUUCUGUGAAAGGGAGGUGCAGGAUAUCUUAACCUGCUGGAAUCACAGGUUACGUAAGAAUCAGAGCAUAGUUACCAAACCAGAGUUUGAGUAAGAUACAGGCUUUAAUUUAAAGUGUUGUAAGUGCUUUGGACUAUUAACGAUAGCUAUCUCAGGCUUAACAGAAGGCUGAUGCCUUCAUGCUUGGGCUGCCUUAGAAGGAAUCAUUCUUCAGUCUGAACUACUUUUAUGUAUCACGAUUCUGAGACAACUCCAGUUGAAACACUGUCUACGUUCUGUUCUCCGCUUAGCUGAAGUGAUGAGAAGCACAUUGUGAGAUGAGCAAGAUUUCCCAAUUGCUAUUUUUUGCAUUCAUAGCUUUUUGUCUGUACAUAGUAGCUUCAAUAAACCCACAAUGAGGUAACUGAUUCUUAUCUCCUUUAUUAUAAUAUAUAGAUCUACUGUCUGCAAGACCUUGGAGGAAACUAUGUAGAAGAUCUAAAAAGAACUGAAAAGGGAAAUGGUGAUCCUGUAGUUAGGGCAGUAGCCUGGAUCAGAAGUAACAGAGCGCUCUGCCCUCAGCUGCCACUCUGUUACAUCAUGCCAGGUCAAAUAAGGAAGAAGUCUUAUACAAGCAACAAUUACAGAUCCUUGCUGGUUUUUUUCACAUCAAUGUUACUUGUGGCAGGGGGGCUGUCAGCACUUUGGCUACUUGAAGUCAAUGCUGCAGGUCUCUCCUGACUUCACUUUGUUAAUUCCUUUCACUACUUGCUAGUAUCAGCUGCCAUUAGAAAUCUAAAUGCAUUAAUUCCAAUGGGGGUUCAAGAGAAAGCAGAAAGUUGGAAAAUUUCAGCUCCCUACAUGCCCAUCCUUCCCCCUUCUUUUAGUACGUUUCACAUAGGGAAAAAUCAUUACUAUGCAUAAGCAUGCUACAUUACAACUUUUGAAUGGAGCAACAACUCACUUUCUUAACCUUCCCAUACUACUCAAGAAAUUUUGCUAACUAGUUAUUGCUGUAUUUAAAACAAAACAAAAAAACCCCAAACCACUCCCUAAACCACCCACAACAAACAAAUCUAUAAAGUUUUUUCCACAACUGACCUUGGAAUUACAGGCUGAAGCAUAAAAGGUGCAACAUCACAAAAUCCCUCUCGGCAUGAGGGCUGUAACCCUCAAUGUUAGCAGCAAGUCAGCCAGAGUGAAAACAGCACUUCUUAGAACUCUUAUUUUAACAAAUUAAGUUUAGGUUUCAAAUUCCAGUUGUAUUAGGGGGAAAAAAAAAAAAAAAAAAAGACAGCCUGCAUGUGUCUGGAAACACCAAGUGGCUUUCUGGAUACACUCUGCUAGCCUUUUUUUCCAGCUGGAUCAUCAUACACAGCAAGGAGAAACAAAAUCUCUGUUCUUACAAUGGUUUCAUUCCUAUACCUUCCACUGUAAACCGGUAAGAAAAUGUAAUUCUCUUGCAGCUCCCUUGAAGAACCUCCUGCUUUUCUACAGCCAAGAAUUCCCACCAAAUCUUGUAUAUUUCUUCUGGUUUUAAGUGAUAUGCAAACAAAAACAUGCCUCCAAAGCAGUAGCCUUCUGUAUUACUCAGUGCCCUACCACCAUUUAUUCCUGUACUUCAACAAACUUGGUAUACCCGUCCAACAGGAUCGAUAUCUGGCUUCUCUUCAGGGGUAAUAAUUUUUACAGCAUUACCUCUGAACAGACUAUGUGUGUGCGUAUCUUUAAACUCAGCGCAUCAUCUUAUCCUAGAAAAGCACCUUAGUUCUGCAGUGUAUCAGAAAAAUCAGUCAAUCCUACUGUCCCUGAAAGGGUAGGGGUAUUUCUCCACUAACCUUUAAACCAAGACACCAUAGCUGGUCACUUCAGCUUAAAAGGCUUCAAUACCCUUCGGGAAACCAGACACCCAGUUCAGGAAAAGAUACCUAGUUUCUUGGAAAGACAUCCUCAACUGAUCCAUGUCAGUGUUACUACAAAUUUCUCCUUUGUGCAGAAACAAGAUUAAAAAUAUCUAAAGGAACUAUGCUACUGCUGUAGAGGUCAACUAAAAUAAAACAGUAAUUACCCUGUUCAGAGUUCUCCAACUAAAAGAUAAUAAUAGAUCACUUCAACAGGGAACUUUUAGUCUGCUUCCGCACUCUCAGGAAAGGGAGUUAUAACAAAAGCUGUGUCACUGUUUUGGUGGAAAAUUUUAUGUAAUUUCUCACUUUCAAAUGUGUGUCAACUGUGCAUUAUAAGGCUCUUAUGCUGCAGUACACAGUGAAGAGCCUUAGACCAUGGAAAACAACAUAAGAAGUAUAAAUGUAAGCACAUACCACACAUACCCAUUUUCAUGCUAAUUAGAGGGAUCAGUAAGACAUGGGUGAAAAAAAUACUUAGCAAUACGAUGAAAUAAAAGGACAGAGUGCAAACAUCUAGACCAGCUGCUGUUCUCAGGGAGCCUCCUUUGACUACAGUGCUUGUGUACUUAAGUUCUCAGUACACAGAGAUGGCCUGCAUUGCAAAAUACAUCCACUAUAUAUGUAGGGCAUGACUCAGCAGAAAGGCAGCUAUUCCCAAUAUUCAAAGACAUUUCAUCAGAAGGUUAUUUGCCAAUUCCAAUCUGUAAAAGCAGCAACAGCUCAAGAAGAGGCUUUAUUUAAAAAAAAAUACAGGGACAGGCCAGUUUUUAAAAAUUGAGGAAAGAAAAAACAACCCCAAAACCCAAACCACUGAAUCCCUCUCAAACCUUUACCCCAUUUAAAAAGGCACAGCUAAGGAGAUAGAAGAAUGCGGCAU
Molecule: long non-coding RNA, 4144 nt
Organism: Falco peregrinus (peregrine falcon)
Lineage: Eukaryota; Metazoa; Chordata; Aves; Falconiformes; Falconidae
Exons: 2
Source: RefSeq, a predicted model, not a curated record